Molecule: ribosomal RNA, 1255 nt
Filed under: Salmonella enterica subsp. enterica serovar Thompson
Lineage: Bacteria; Pseudomonadati; Pseudomonadota; Gammaproteobacteria; Enterobacterales; Enterobacteriaceae
Description: bacterial LSU rRNA
Rfam family: Bacterial large subunit ribosomal RNA
Source: RNAcentral
GGGUUGUGAGGUUAAGCGACUAAGCGUACACGGUGGAUGCCCUGGCAGUCAGAGGCGAUGAAGGGCGUGCUAAUCUGCGAUAAGCGCCGGUAAGGUGAUAUGAACCGUUAUAACCGGCGAUACCCGAAUGGGGAAACCCAGUGUGACUCGUCACACUAUCAUUAACUGAAUCCAUAGGUUAAUGAGGCGAACCGGGGGAACUGAAACAUCUAAGUACCCCGAGGAAAAGAAAUCAACCGAGAUUCCCCCAGUAGCGGCGAGCGAACGGGGAGGAGCCCAGAGCCUGAAUCAGCAUGUGUGUUAGUGGAAGCGUCUGGAAAGGCGCGCGAUACAGGGUGACAGCCCCGUACACAAAAGCGCAUGUGCUGUGAGCUCGAUGAGUAGGGCGGGACACGUGGUAUCCUGUCUGAAUAUGGGGGGACCAUCCUCCAAGGCUAAAUACUCCUGACUGACCGAUAGUGAACCAGUACCGUGAGGGAAAGGCGAAAAGAACCCCGGCGAGGGGAGUGAAAAAGAACCUGAAACCGUGUACGUACAAGCAGUGGGAGCCCCACCACUAAGCCAGUGGUGAACUCCACAUACGCAUCCUUUGCUGAAGGCAAUGGUUAACGGAGCGAAAGCGACGUUCAACCGCAAAACAAGCAGAGGGGGCUUAGUGGUGGGGUGACUGCGUACCUUUUGUAUAAUGGGUCAGCGACUUAUAUUCUGUAGCAAGGUUAACCGUAUAGGGGAGCCGGAGGGAAACCGAGUCUUAAUUGGGCGUUAAGUUGCAGGGUAUAGACCCGAAACCCGGUGAUCUAGCCAUGGGCAGGUUGAAGGUUGGGUAACACUAACUGGAGGACCGAACCGACUAAUGUUGAAAAAUUAGCGGAUGACCUGUGGCUGGGGGUGAAAGGCCAAUCAAACCGGGAGAUAGCUGGUUCUCCCCGAAAGCUAUUUAGGUAGCGCCUCGUGAAUUCAUCUCCGGGGGUAGAGCACUGUUUCGGCUAGGGGGCCAUCCCGGCUUACCAACCCGAUGCAAACUGCGAAUACCGGAGAAUGUUAUCACGGGAGACACACGGCGGGUGCUAACGUCCGUCGUGAAGAGGGAAACAACCCAGACCGCCAGCUAAGGUCCCAAAGUCAUGGUUAAGUGGGAAACGAUGUGGGAAGGCCCAGACAGCCAGGAUGUUGGCUUAGAAGCAGCCAUCAUUUAAAGAAAGCGUAAUAGCUCACUGGUCGAGUCGGCCUGCGCGGAAGAUGUAACGGGGCUAAA